UGAAGACAAAGCACCUCGUGCUAUUUGUGGAGCCAAUGAUUUGUUCGGAUUCACGCCUGAACCUAUGGUUCCAACAUUUAAUGAAGGUGCAGUUGGUGUGAUAUUUUUCAAAUCUUUCUUAUGUGUUAUAUUUGUUGGUUUUAGGUGAUUUAAAUUAUGAUUUUUUCAGAAAAAUAUGAUGAAAAAACACCAGCAGAGAUUAGGAGAGAAAGAGACAAAAAAAAAGAUAUGCUGCUAUGUCAGCGAGUGAUAAGCAAGCUAAGAUAAUUAAAAAUCGCGUGAGACGUAACAUUAACAGGGUUAAUAAUGAGGAACAAUCCAAAGAAACGUUGCCCAAUCGUUGCUCACAAGCAUGCGAUGCUGAAGUUCCUAAACGCCCUACCACCAGGAGUACGACCCAAGGAAUAGUCAAACCCGAUGAAGGCAGCCGUCAGAGAAACAAUCGUAAACUAGGUCUAAACAGUGGAAAACCAGAAUUUGACUCUGGUAUUUGGGAACCAGAUGAUGAGAUGUUUGCUGCACAAGAAGGUACAAUCCAGUAUUUAUUUUUAUGCAUGAGAACACAUUCACUUGAUUCAGACAUAAAAACAAUAUAUCUAAAUAAUAAAAGGGUUUUUUACAGAGGAAGAUCUGAAUUGCAGAGCGCCAGAUAAUAGUGUUUUUGAUUAUGACUUUCUCGUAGAUGAUGAAGCAAGAGUCUAUUAUAAUAAUGGUUUGGAUUCAUUAUUAUUUCGAUUCAUUUAGUGUUCUACUGUGCAUCAUUGAAAUCUAAGUACAUGAUUGAUAUAUUGAUGCAGACGUUGAUUUCAGGACUACUCGGGAUCCAGAUGUGGUAAUCUUGGACAAUGAUCGUUACGAUCGAGUAUAUAGAGAUUUGCCCGCUCACUCUCUUGUAUUGAAGAAGGUUCUGAUAUGCGAGUAUUGCGGUGCUAUAAAGUUUCCAAGUGAGGGACCAGGUUUUUGUUGUAGGCAAGGAAAGGUUAAUAUAGUCAACACACCAGUUCCUGAUGAAUUGCGUCGACUUUUUAUUAGUCAAACGGAUAGAGAUGCGCUGUAUUUCAGAAAAAAUAUACGGUACUUCAAUUCACAUUUCUCUUUCACUAGCUUUGGAGCUACUGUGGAUCAACGGGUCGCUACUG
Panicum virgatum (switchgrass) is the source of this 1139-nucleotide long non-coding RNA. RefSeq lists it as uncharacterized. Lineage: Eukaryota; Viridiplantae; Streptophyta; Magnoliopsida; Poales; Poaceae. The record is from RefSeq and is a predicted model, not a curated record. The transcript is spliced from 3 exons.